This is a long non-coding RNA of Mauremys reevesii (Reeves's turtle), 1601 nucleotides long. RefSeq lists it as uncharacterized. The transcript is spliced from 6 exons. Lineage: Eukaryota; Metazoa; Chordata; Testudines; Geoemydidae. The record is from RefSeq and is a predicted model, not a curated record.
GCCGUUGCUGGCAGCAAUGCCCCGUCCCCGUGUGUCGCUCUCAGGCUCCGCCCAGGCCCGGGUAACGGUGCCCGUCACCAGGGGAGCGAUUGCGUCAUAAAGGUGAAGUGACAUGUGCACGUUGGUGGGAGAGCCAGGAGUAGGAUCCAGGAGUUCGGGCUCUAAACCAUUAAGACUACUUCUGUAGACUCAGUGGUUGAAAUACUUGGUACACUUCAAGGGAUUCCUAAUCCUUUCCCCACAAGAUGCCUGUUUAUUGGAAACUGUUAUGAAAAAUUACCAGGAGAGGAGACAAAGUGAAGAAAAAGAGCUGAAAACAGUAUUUUUAUAUCCUAAGUAUUUGUAGCCUCUUACCUUUUGAGAUGGAACUUCAGAUACUUGAGGAUACCACGGCUAGGCAGGAAUGUGCAACUCAUGCAUUUAGGUUUAAUCGCUCUGGCAAGAUAGGUAGCAGUCUAUUUUAUGAGUGAACAUAACCUGCAAGGAAAAGGAAAUGCAAGAGACCCAUAACAAAAUGCAAAGACGUUUUCCUGGCCUCUUGAGAAACAAGACUUGAUUGAUGCACAUGCUGACCCAAACAAGAGAGACGUUUGUGCCAGGAAAGUUAGCAGAACCCACUCUAGAAGUGAUGCAGAUCCUUCCCCACCCACUUCGUACAUUAUGUUGGAAAAUCUCAAUUUGGCACUAUCAAAAAGGAAAGGCAGUGAAAUAAGUUUAUGUGCAAAAUAUGGAGAUCAGUGUCAAAAACAUCAAAUUUUGAAAGAGGAAACAUGCACCCCAGCCAAAAAUGGCAGUGAAACUUACCUAUCUGGGUUGUCAGAAGCACAUACAGAAUCAAUCAGUCCAACAUCCAGUGUGCCCUGUGCAACAAAAACCCAACCAAGAAAAAGAGGCAGACAUUUUAACAUCACUAAAAUAUAUUAUUCAAUAUAUUACUUUUAGGCAUAAGCAAAACUGGGAAUUACUUUGCAUACUUUGGUUAUGCAAAACUAUAUAGAUCUAGGUGCCAAUUUCUUCUAACCACUAAAAUUUAGGGGAAAGGGAACAGGGGUUUCAGAUAAACAGAUCUAAUAACAGAUCAACUUUAGUUACGUUCACUGCAAAGCAAGUUCAAAAACAACUUCUAUUUUUCUGAGUUUCACAACUCAGUUGCAAUUUUGACAUAAUUUACAAUACCCUCUAGUGAAUUUACCACCACACAGCAUAGAACCUUGGGAAGCCAACAUCAAACAGAAAUCUAGAUUUUUAUUUUCCUUUGUUUCCUUGUUAGCACUCUCUAAACUGAAUGGGUUAAAUCUGCCCCCCAGUUAUAUGUUCUGUAAAAAUAACCAACGGAAAUGUUCCAAUUUUUUUUUUAAUUAACAGAUAGUUGUAUUUUUUAAUUUAAUCAAACAAGCAUGCCUUUCCAGUACUUUAACUGCAAGUACUGCACUACUGCGUUGGAGCAUGAAAAUUUGAUAGGGAAACUGACUAGAAAAAACGUGAAACUAACUAAUACAUUUAGUUUAGGACAGUGAAAUGCAAAAUCAAGAGGCUAUAAAUAGUAAAAAGGAAAUUUAGAUUAAUAAAAUAAAUCUUAACCUCUAGAUAUUAGCUUUAAC